AGAGUUUGAUCCUGGCUCAGAAUGAACGUGGCGGCGUGGAUUAGGCAUGCAAGUCGUGCGAGAAGUCUUUUGCUUGCAUUAGACGGAAAGCGACGAAAGGGAGAGUAACGCGUGGGUACCUACCUCUAGGUUCGGGAUAGCUGCGGGAAACUGUGGGUAAUACCGAAUAACAUCUCCGGAUCAAAGGUGUGAUUCCGCCUGGAGACGGGCCCGCGUCCUAUUAGCUUGUUGGUGGGGUAAUGGCUUACCAAGGCAAUGAUGGGUAUCGGGCGUGAGAGCGUGACCCGACUCACCGGGACUGAGACACUGCCCAGACACCUACGGGUGGCUGCAGUCGAGAAUCUUCGGCAAUGGGCGCAAGCCUGACCGAGCGACGCCGCGUGCGGGAUGAAGGCCCUCGGGUUGUAAACCGCUGUCAGUUGGGAGGAAAUCACAUGGGGUUCUCUCCAUGUGUUGACCUAUCUUCAGAGGAAGGACGGGCUAAGUUCGUGCCAGCAGCCGCGGUAAGACGAACCGUCCAAACGUUAUUCGGAAUUACUGGGCUUAAAGGGUGCGUAGGCGGCUUCGCAAGUUGGGUGUGAAAUCCCUCGGCUCAACCGAGGAAUGGCGCCCAAAACUGCGGAGCUCGAGGGAGACAGAGGUGAGUGGAACUUGUGGUGGAGCGGUGAAAUGCGUUGAUAUCACAAGGAACACCGGUGGCGAAAGCGGCUCACUGGGUCUUUUCUGACGCUGAGGCACGAAAGCUGGGGGAGCGAACGGGAUUAGAUACCCCGGUAGUCCCAGCUGUAAACGAUGAGCACUAGAUCGAAGGGUCCUCCAUAGCCUUUCGGUCGUAGCGAAAGUGUUAAGUGCUCCGCCUGGGGAGUAUGGUCGCAAGGCUGAAACUCAAAUGAAUUGACGG
RNAcentral lists this ribosomal RNA (901 nucleotides) under uncultured bacterium. RNAcentral describes it as "bacterial SSU rRNA". It matches the Rfam family "Bacterial small subunit ribosomal RNA", at positions 8 to 916 of the family's 1533-position model. The record is from RNAcentral.